GUCUGAUGUGAAAGCCCCGGGCUCAACCUGGGAAGUGCAUUGGAAACUGGCAGACUUGAAUACGGGAGAGGGUAGUGGAAUUCCUAGUGUAGGAGUGAAAUCCGUAGAUAUUAGGAGGAACACCGGUGGCGAAGGCGGCUACCUGGACCGAUAUUGACGCUGAGACGCGAAAGCGUGGGUAGCAAACAGGAUUAGAUACCCUGGUAGUCCACGCUGUAAACGAUG
RNAcentral lists this ribosomal RNA (225 nucleotides) under uncultured bacterium. RNAcentral describes it as "partial 16S ribosomal RNA". It matches the Rfam family "Bacterial small subunit ribosomal RNA", at positions 587 to 811 of the family's 1533-position model. The record is from RNAcentral.